UUUAAGGCAAACAGAGUACUUUUUAGAGUUCACGGAAACGUUGCUCUGCGAUUACGAGACUGAUAUCGCAUCGAGAAAUGCUGUGGAUCAUAUUUUUGAGAGAUACGGGCGCCGCGAAGGUUGCUAUGUACGGCGGGCGUGAAGGAGGAAUCGCCCAUGUCGAGGUUCGAAAAAUUCAAUUAUCUCACGUGGGUACUACAGGGCACUGAGAGCUUUAAAACAGAGAAUGGACGCAACAUGCCGUGCAGUCCGUGCUUGUUUCCCGCCGUGGCCACAGAUCACGUUACGAUGCUACAGCUGGAAUGUGGAUCGUCAUUGUAGGCUGAGGCGUAAUCUCAAGUUGGCGUGAUGUCGAGGAAACCACACUGUGCAAGACGGGAACUGGAUAAAGGACAGUGUUGGUUACUGUGAGCUCUCUGCACUUGGACUGCUCAAGCCGGAAUAUUUCUUCAGCACAACAAAGAAGCCGUUGUACAAAGGAAGAUGGCUUCAACAGACCACCAUUGUCCCUAAGGAUGAUCAGAAGGCUUGACGUGUCAUCAUCAAGAAGGGUAUCAAGGCACCCAUCACAUUGUCAUCUGCAGACGGCGGCGGACUGCACUCAGGUGAAGAUUCCUCUGCUUUAGUUGCCGUACACUUGACCUGGGAGUUGUUUUGCUCUGUGUCAACUUCUGGGGAUGCACUUGGCUGGCUUGAUUUGUCUCCUCCCAUGUGUGAUGCUUGUGAUGGGGAUUCUUGCCCAGUUUCGUGAGUGUCAACCAAGACAGAGGUCUGUUAAAAGUGCAGUAAGGUGAAGCUUGUUUUGGCUAAUGAUGCCCACAAAGCUUUUUCUUUUUUCUUACUUUCAUGUUAGCACCACGAAGCAACUAUGGCUAUGAGCGGCGUAAUGCCCAUACUGAAGAGGAAACGUGAUCAUGUAUUUACCAGUUUGUGCUUCCUUGGGAGUCUACAGUACGGAUGCUCCGCAUGAAGCGGCAUUGGCAUAUGUACCUGCAUAACAAUUUUUGUCUUAACUUUUGUAAGGCUAAAUUUUUUACAUCAUGUUUGGCCGUGGUUGAAUACUUUCUCUAAACUCUUUCUAGCAUGGAGUCACAAGUGAAAACUGCUCCUUACAGGGGAUGCAGCAGGUGUAAGAGGAUUGGCUGGCCGAUCCAACAUCGUACUGCAUCCUGCUUCAUUGUCCUGUAAAAACAAACACGGAGUCAGCAUAAUCACACACAUGGAGAGACACAAAGAGUAUGGCUGACUGAUGUUCAUGAUUACUGUAAUCGACAAAUAUCAAGCUGAUGAGGGUAUGCUUUCAGUGCAUAAACAUGAAAAGCAGGGAGCACCUAUAUUAAUUACCAAGUAAAACUUUCUCGUUCUACAUUGCAAUAUGACAUUUCAUUGCUUUGA
Long non-coding RNA from Ornithodoros turicata, 1395 nucleotides. RefSeq lists it as uncharacterized. The transcript has 4 exons. The record is from RefSeq and is a predicted model, not a curated record. NCBI's taxonomy places the organism in Eukaryota, Metazoa, Arthropoda, Arachnida, Ixodida, Argasidae.